CGAAAACGAAUUCUCUCUUGAGUGGAUCCUGAGUACGACGGAGCACGUGAAAUUCCGUCGGAAUCUGGGAGGACCAUCUCCUAAGGCUAAAUACUCUCUAGUGACCGAUAGUGAACCAGUACCGUGAGGGAAAGGUGAAAAGUACCCCGGAAGGGGAGUGAAAGAGAACUUGAAACCGUGUGCUUACAAGUAGUCAGAGCCCGUUAAUGGGUGAUGGCGUGCCUUUUGUAGAAUGAACCGGCGAGUUACGAUCUGAUGCAAGGUUAAGCAGAAAAUGUGGAGCCGUAGCGAAAGCGAGUCUGAAUAGGGCGAAUGAGUAUUUGGUCGUAGACCCGAAACCAGGUGAUCUACCCUUGGUCAGGUUGAAGUUCAGGUAACACUGAAUGGAGGACCGAACCGACUUACGUUGAAAAGUGAGCGGAUGAACUGAGGGUAGCGGAGAAAUUCCAAUCGAACUUGGAGAUAGCUGGUUCUCUCCGAAAUAGCUUUAGGGCUAGCCUCAAGUGAUGAUUAUUGGAGGUAGAGCACUGUUUGGACGAGGGGCCCCUCUCGGGUUACCGAAUUCAGACAAACUCCGAAUGCCAAAUAAUUUAACUUGGGAGUCAGAAUGUGGGUGAUAAGGUCCAUAUUCGAAAGGGAAACAGCCCAGACCACCAGCUAAGGUCCCAAAAUAUAUGUUAAGUGGAAAAGGAUGUGGCGUUGCCCAGACAACUAGGAUGUUGGCUUAGAAGCAGCCAUCAUUUAAAGAGUGCGUAAUAGCUCACUAGUCGAGUGACACUGCGCCGAAAAUGUACCGGGGCUAAACAUAUUACCGAAGCUGUGGAUUGUCCUUUGGACAAUGGUAGGAGAGCGUUCUAAGGGCGUUGAAGCAUGAUCGCAAGGACAUGUGGAGCGCUUAGAAGUGAGAAUGCCGGUGUGAGUAGCGAAAGACGGGUGAGAAUCCCGUCCACCGAUUGACUAAGGUUUCCAGAGGAAGGCUCGUCCGCUCUGGGUUAGUCGGGUCCUAAGCUGAGGCCGACAGGCGUAGGCGAUGGAUAACAGGUUGAUAUUCCUGUACCACCAUUAUUCGUUUUAAGCGAUGGGGGGACGCAGUAGGAUAGGCGAAGCGUGCUGUUGGAGUGCACGUCCAAGCAGUGAGAUUGAGUGUUAGGCAAAUCCGGCACUCUUAAGAUUGAG
This 1176-nucleotide ribosomal RNA is filed under the name Staphylococcus pseudintermedius. RNAcentral's name for it is "partial 23S ribosomal RNA". It matches the Rfam family "Bacterial large subunit ribosomal RNA", at positions 380 to 1560 of the family's 2925-position model. The record is from RNAcentral. Lineage: Bacteria; Bacillati; Bacillota; Bacilli; Caryophanales; Staphylococcaceae.